UCAUAUUUUGGUGCUGCUAAAAUCUGCUUGUGUGUUAGCUUAUCCUUGAAGCCACUAUUGAAUUCAAUUUGAGAAUUCAAUAUGGCAGAUUUCGAGGAUAAGGUGAAGCACACAGCAAAGAAAGCCAAGGUUGUAGCAAAGAAGGCCAAGAAAGCAGUUGUCAAAGGUGGGGUGAAGGUUGUUGGUGCUUGUAAGAAAGGAUGGGCAAAACUUAGGAAAAGCAUCAAGGAAUUCCAGGACAAGAAUAAGAAUAAGAAAACAGAGUAUUUAGGUCGUGAUAAUCAUUAAAUAUUGAGAGGAAAACGUGUGUACUGACAGUAUAUGAAUUUUAUACAUUGUCAUUCUAUUAUCCACCAUUCAUUUUUAGUCAUCGUUAAUCUUUCAAAAAAUAUAAUACAAAUAAAUGAUGGAUAAAUAUUUAUUCUGACAGUGCAUAGAUAUCAUAGUCUUAAAUAUUUACAUAUUCUUGAAUCUGGUCAAUCUUGCGUACAUCUUUAGCAGCUGGUUAUGUAAUGCAGCAUCAUUAUUAAUUAUUGUCACCCUUAUAUGUAUUGAUUCAAUGAAAAAUAUACAAAAUUUGGUGGGUAUAGUAUUAGUAGUGAUUGCCUUUUUCUUUGAUAGGUAUUUUAAUUAAUGUUUGAACAUCUCAUUAAGUUUUUGUUUUGUUUUUUAAACUUAAGAUAUCUAGUGGCUAACUAUAUCUACUACAUUUUCUUUUUCUCUAGCCCCUAGAGCCAUGAUUCUCGUUUUUAUUCCAAUCAAUCAUGGGACUGUGACAUGUAUAUAUAUUCUGAUGUAUUUAGUGUAUAGAUAUUAUACUUUUUUACAAAGAAAAAAUGAUAUAUGUUUUGAUGUAAAAAAAUUUUACACUAUUAAUAUAUCAUUCAUAUUUUAUCAUUACUGAAUCUUAAAUAAAAGUAAUAUAAAUCAUGAAAGAUUUUCACUUCCACUAUUACUCUAGAACUCUCAUUUGCAUUUUUAUCACUCACGUAGUAGUAUCAUACUCAAAUACAAUCACAGAAGAGGAUGCUUGUUUUUCAUAUGUCCCUUUUACAAUUAUAGUAAUCCUUUUGGAAUUUGCCACAAUAAUAAAUUUACCACAACAUACCCUCUUUAUUUGUUAGUUAGUGUUAUUAAUAGUUCAAUAAGUAGUUUAUCAAUUAAACUGAAUACUGAUUAAGUUAUAUAUCUAUAUUAAUGUAUAAAGGCAAAAUAAGCUUAAUAUGUAUUUAAGUCAUUGAAUGAUGUAAUUUCUAUAUCUUUACUUUGCAUAUACUACUAUAAACCACAUGCCUAAUGUUCGUAUACCAGACUAAGCGAUUACAAACCAAUGCAAUAUAGUCUAUCAAUUAAUGUAUUCUCUUAUACUCCUUUUCCAUCACUACAACCUCAUUCUAUCAAUUAAUUUACAAUAAUUUUUAAAUGCCUUUAGAGUAUCAUGUUUAUUAUUUUUUAAAUGCCUUUAGAGUAGUAAAGUGUAACUCCGCUAAUUAAUAAAUUAAAAGUGUAUAUAUAAUUUGAUGAUAAUAUAUAUGUAUAUAAUUAAAUACAUUUAUAGUCAUUUAGGUGGUUCAAACAUAGAGCAACCGUUUCAGUUAAAGGGACCAUAAAAACUAAAAAAUAUAAAUGUUCAUUUAAAAAAAAAUUAAGAUUGAAUAAUUGACACAAUCAAAUAUAUUCAACUACAAAUUAUAAUAUUUGAUAUUUAAGUAUGUAGACUACACACAUUACAAAUAAUAUAAAAACGGUUUGACAUACAUGACAAUGCAUGUCAACAUGUGGCAUCAAGGAAUUCCAGGACAAGAAUAAGAAUAAGAAAACAGAGUAUUUAGGUCGUGAUAAUCAUUAAAUAUUGAGAGGAAAACGUGUGUACUGACAGUAUAUGAAUUUUAUACAUUGUCAUUCUAUUAUCCACCAUUCAUUUUUAGUCAU
Molecule: long non-coding RNA, 1932 nt
Filed under: Lupinus angustifolius (narrow-leaved blue lupine)
Lineage: Eukaryota; Viridiplantae; Streptophyta; Magnoliopsida; Fabales; Fabaceae
Description: long non-coding RNA (LANG_LNC001958)
Source: RNAcentral